Long non-coding RNA from Oncorhynchus tshawytscha (Chinook salmon), 3549 nucleotides. NCBI's taxonomy places the organism in Eukaryota, Metazoa, Chordata, Actinopteri, Salmoniformes, Salmonidae. The record is from Ensembl.
UAGAAUUCUAAUAUGAAAACCACUGUAUGCUGUAAAGAUACAGUAGAAUUCUAAUAUGAAAACCACUGUAUGCUGUAAAGAUACAGUAGAAUUCUAAUAUGAAAACCACUGUAUGCUGUAAAGAUGCAGUAGAAUUCUAAUAUGAAAUGCUGAGUUCGUAAAUGCCCAAAAUGUUAGUGUAAUUAAUUAUUGAUGUGCAAUAUCACAUUAUGACCAUUUGUACAGUAUUUAAAAAAAAAAAUCUAUAUCAACCAUAUGUACCAUAUAUCUCAUCAAAUGACAUCUCAAUGAAAACCAUACACUGUAUUUCUGAGUUAUUCAAUCCCAUGAUACAGAAAGCAUCCUGCAGCUUAGCUCCCAUAGUUUCUGAGCCGUGUCAUCAUCUGAAGCAGGCCGUGAGCAGGUGGCUGGUGCACAGUCGCUGUGGGCAAACAGAGAAGAUGCUCAUGUCUCUAACACAGUUUACUAUAAAAUACUAUAUACAAUAAUAUUAAACAAGUGAAAAUGUCAUCUUUACUCAUUUAUUAAUGAAGCUGGAAUAAUCUCAUUCGUAGAUGUAUUCUUUCAAAACUAAAUAUAUAUACAUUAUAUACAUAGAGUUGAAGUCAGAAGUUUACAUACACCUGAGCCAAAUACAUUUAAACUCAGUUUUUCACAAUUCCUGACAUUUAAUCCUAGUAAAAAUUCCCUGUCUUAGGUCAGUUAGGAUCACCACUUGAUUUUAUGAAUGUGAAAUGUCAGAAAAAUAUAUUUCUUUCAGCUUUUAUUUCUUUCAUCACAUUCCCAGUGGGUCAGAAGUUUACAUACACUCAAUUAGUAUUUGAUAGCAUUGCCUUUAAAUGGUUUAACUUGGGUCAAACGUUUCGGGUAGCCUUCCACAAGCUUCUCACAAUAAGUUGGGUGAAUUUUGGCCCAUUCCUCCUGACAGAGCUGGUGAAACUGAGUCAGGUUUGUAGGCCUCCUUGCUCACACACACUUUUUCAGUUCUGCCCACACAUUUUCUAUAGGAUUGAGGUCAGGGCUUUGUGACUCCAAUACCUUGACUUGGUUGUCCGUAAGCCAUUUUGCCACAACUUUGUAAGUAUGCUUGGGGUCAUUGUCCAUUUGGAAGACCCAUUUGAGACCAAGCUUUAACUUCCUGACUGAUGUCUUGAGAUGUUGCUUCAAUAUAUCCACAUAAUUUCCCUCCCUCAUGAUGCCAUCUAUUUUGUGUGUGCACCAGUCCCUCCUGCAGCAAAGCACCCCUACAACAUGGUGCUGCCACCCCAGUGCUUCACGGUUCGGAUGGUGUUCUUUGGCUUGCAAUCCUCCCCCUUUUUCGUCCAAACAUAACGAUGGUCAUUAUGGCCAAACAGUUCUAUUUUUUGUUUCAUCGGACCAGAGGACAUUUCUCCAAAAAGUACAAUCUUUGUCCCCAUGUGCAGUUGCAAACCGUAGUCUGGCUUUUUUAUGGCAGUGGCUUCUUCCUUGCUGAGCGGCCUUUCAGGUUAUGUCAAUAUAGGACUCGUUUUACUGUGGAUAUAGACACUUUUGUACCUAUUUCCUCCAGCAUCUUCACAAGGUCCUUUGCUGUUGUUCUGGGAUUGAUUUGUGCUUUUCGCACCAAAGUACAUUAGUUUCUAGGAGACCGAAAGCGUCUCCUUCCUGAGCAGUUUUAAUUUUAAUUUUACCUUUAUUUAACCAGGCAAGUCAGUUAAGAACAAAUUCUUAUUUUCAAUGAUGGCCUAGGAACAGUGGGUUAACUGCCUGUUCAGGGGCAGAACAACAGAUUUGUACCUUGUCAGCUCGGGGGUUUGAACUUGCAACCUUCCGGUUACUAGUCCAACACUCUAACCACUAGGCUACCCUGCCGCCGUAUGACGUCUGCAUGGUCCCAUGGUGUUUAUACUUGCGUACUAUUGUUUGUACAGAUGAACGUGGUACCUUCAGGCGUUUGUAAAUUGCUCCCAAGGAUGAACCAGACUUGUGGAGGUCUACAAUUUUUUUUCUGAGGUCUUCUUUCUUUUGAUUUUCCCAUGAUGUCAAGCAAAGAGGCACUGAGGCACUGAGUUUGAAGGUAGGCCUUGAAAUACAUCUAAGGUACACCUCCAAUUGACUCAAAUGAUGUCAAUUAGCCUAUCAGAAGCGUCUAAGGCCAUGACAUCAUUUUCUGGAAUUUUCCAAGCUGUUUAAAGGCAAAGUCAACUUAGUGUAUGUAGACUUCUGACCCACUGGAAUUGUGAUACAGUGAAUUUUAAGUUAAAUAAUCUGUCUGUAAACAAUUGUUUACAACAAUUGUUGGAAAAAUGACUUGUGUCAUGCACAAAGUAGAUGUCCUAACCGACUUGCCUAUAUAGUUCACAAACUAUAGUUUGUGAACAAGACAUUUGUGGAGUUGUUAUAAAACAAGUUUUUAUGACUCCGACCUAAGUGUAUGUAAACUUCCAACUUCAACUGUGGGCUACUAUGGUGAUCAUAGGUUAUGGCUACUAUGGUGACCAUAGGUUAUGGCUACUAUGGUGACCAUAGGUUUUGGCUACUAUGGUGACCAUAGGUUAUAGCUACUAUGGUGACCAUAGGUUAUGGCUACUAUGGUGACCAUAGGUUAUAGCUACUAUGGUGACCAUAGGUUAUAGCUACUAUGGUGACCAUAGGUUAUAGCUACUAUGGUGACCAUAGGUUAUAGCUACUAUGUCUGUGUAGAUUGCUGAGGGUUUCUUUAUUUUUUAAUCCAUUUUAGAAUACGGCUGUAACAAAAUGUGGGAAAAAGUCAAGGGUCUGAAUUCUUUCCGAAGGCACUGUAUCAUCAAACUUCUCAUCAGGUCUUGCUUGACUAACACCCAGCCUAAUGUUUGUUAUCUUAUCUCUGAAGCAUGCCGCAAACUCAUCACAUUUAUACGUGGAAGGAAGUUCACAUAGGUUUGCUGGGGUAGGAAUAAUCAGGCCAUCAAUGAUCGAGAAGAGCACUCUUCUGAUAAUUCUGAUAAUUAGUGAUCAAAUCAGAGAAAUUUGCCCUUCUGUCAUUUCUAAUUGCCUUAUUCCCGAUGCCAAGUUGAUCUCACAGAAUAUCAUAAUGGACCUGCAACUUUGACUUUCUCCACUUCCUCUCCGCCUGUCUGCAAUUUCUCUUUAAUUUAUUCAUUUUCUCUCUCAUUGUCACGACUUCCGCUGAAGUUGGCUCUCCUGCCUAUUCGGGCGGUGCUCGGCGGUCGUCGUCACCGUCCUACUAGCCACUACCGAUCCCUUUUUCGUUUGUCUGUUGGUUUUGUCUUAUUAGUUUCACCUGUGUGUAUUUUAGUUUAAUUAACGUCCUUAUAUGUAGUAGGUUGUCCCGCUCUUGUUUUGUGCGGGAUUGUUUUUGUAUUCAUGUCAUUUGGUGUAGCACUUGUGUUUUAUUCUCCGGUCUAUUUUGAUCCUGUGUUGGAUUAUUCACCAUGUGUGUUGGGUUAUUCACCCUGUGUGUUGGGUUAUUCACCCUGUGUGUUGGGUUAUUCACCCUGUGUGUUGGGUUAUUCACCCUGUGUGUUGGAUUAUUCACCCUGUGUGUUGGGUUGACUGUGUUUUUGUGUG